UACGGAGUGUGCAAGCGUUACUCGGAAUCACUGGGCGUAAAGGGCGCGUAGGCGGCCGCCUAAGUCAGACGUGAAAUCCCUCGGCUCAACCGGGGAACUGCGUCUGAUACUGGGUGGCUUGAAUCCGGGAGAGGGAUGCGGAAUUCCAGGUGUAGCGGUGAAAUGCGUAGAUAUCUGGAGGAACACCGGUGGCGAAGGCGGCAUCCUGGACCGGCAUUGACGCUGAGGCGCGAAAGCCAGGGGAGCAAACGGG
RNAcentral lists this ribosomal RNA (253 nucleotides) under uncultured bacterium. Its description in RNAcentral is "partial 16S ribosomal RNA". It matches the Rfam family "Bacterial small subunit ribosomal RNA", at positions 524 to 776 of the family's 1533-position model. The record is from RNAcentral.